CAAUACGCAAUCCACGCCCAUCCAUUUCAAAAAUGUGGCUCACCUGAUGAAUGGACCCCACAGGACCUUUUUUGUGUGGGGCCCAUCGUUUGAAUGGUUUAUGUUGGCGGGAAAGAUAGGUGAUGGAUGACAAGUUAUCAUACAACACAAGCACUUGUAUCUGAUCACAUCAUCACUUCUCCUUCCCUUCCUCACAAAUGGCGAAGAGAAAACCAUUCCCUCUUUUGAAGAAUCUCUUCAGACAAUCCCAUCUCUCCUCAAAACCCAUUUCUUCUUCUCUUGGAAGAGCUCCUUCCUUCAAUCCCGACACCGGCGGCAGCAUCGCUCUCGCUAACCGCCUCUGCAGAGAGAAGAAAUUCAAAGAAGCCGUCGACGUCCUCUGCCAGCAGAAGCGCCUGAGAGAAGCCGUCGGCAUCCUUGAUAUCCUCGACCGCUCUGGAACCCGGCCUUCGGCUCCCAUCUACGCCGCCCUCCUUCAGCUCUGCCUCCAGAACCGAUCCCUUGACGACGGCAGACGGGUCCAUGCCCACACCAAGGCCUGCGGCUUCAUGCCGGGCCUCUUCAUCUCCAACCGCCUAGUCGACAUGUACUCCAAGUGCGGCGCACUGGCCGACGCUCGUCGCGUGUUCGAUGAUAUGCCUGAGAGAGAUACGUGUUCUUGGAACACCAUGAUCGCUGGCUACGCGAAGGAGGGCCGCCUUCAUGAUGCCCGGAGACUGUUCGAUGAAAUGCCUGAGAAGGAUGGCUUCUCUUGGAGCACGAUGAUUUCUGGGUAUGUCCGCCACCAUCAGCCCAAGGAGGCUUUGGAGCUGUAUGGUGAAAUGCAGAGAGGUGGCAAUGAUUUGAGAUGUAAUACAUUUGCGGUCUCUAGCGCUCUAGCUGCUUCUGCGGCCAGCCGCUCUCUAAGGCAGGGGAAGGAGAUUCAUGGUCAUAUCACAAGGAACAGAUUAGCGAUGGAUGCUGUCAUUUGGAGUGCUCUGUCGGAUAUGUAUGCGAAAUGUGGGAGUAUAGAAGAGGCUCGUCACAUUUUCAAUGGGACGUCGGAUGGGGAUGUUGUUUCUUGGACGACUAUGAUAGGAAGAUACUUCGAGGGCGGAAGGAGGGAAGAGGGUUUUGAGCUUUUCUCAGACAUGCUGAGGUCUGGCAUCAGACCGAAUGAAUUCACAUUCACCGGUAUUUUGAAUGCUUGCUCGACUCAAGCGGCCGAAGAGUUAGGGAAGCAGGUUCAUGGUCACAUGACCCGAAUUGGGUUUGAUCCAUUUUCUUUUGCUGCAAGUGCGCUUGUUGAUAUGUAUUCAAAAUGCGGGAACGUCAAAAGUGCAAGGACAGUAUUUGAAGGAAUGACCCGACCAGAUUUAGUCUCAUGGACUUCUAUGAUAGCCUGUUAUGCCCAGAAUGGCCAACCCGAAGAAGCUCUUCGGUACUUCGAAUUGCUACUCAAAUCUGGUACCAAACCCGACCACGUAACAUUCGUCGGAGUUCUUUCUGCAUGUACUCAUUCCGGAUUAGUCGAUAAAGGGCUCGAAAUCUUCAAAUCAAUAAGUGAAGAUCAUGGACUGGCGUAUACAGCUGACCACUAUGCUUGCAUAGUCGAUCUCCUUGGGAGAUGCGGCCGAUUCGAAGAAGCGGAAGAGAUCAUUAACAAAAUGCCCAUGAAGCCUGAUAAGUUCUUGUGGGCUUCUUUGCUCGGCGGUUGUAGAAUUCAUGGAAAUCUUAGGCUUGCAAAACGAGCAGCUGAAGCAUUGUUUGUGAUAGAGCCCGAAAAUGCUGCGACUUACGUCACAUUGGCGAACAUCUACGCCGCUGCAGGAAGGUGGGACGAGGUCGCGAGGAUUAGAAAGAUGAUGGACGACAGAGGGGUGAUAAAGAAGCCCGGUUCUAGUUGGAUCGAGGUGAAGAGGAGGGCUCAUGUGUUCUUGGUGGGAGAUAAAUCUCACCCGAAAGCGAAGGAAAUCUAUGGAUUGUUGGAGAAACUGUCAACGAAGAUGAAGGAAGAAGGGUACAUCCCAGACACAAACUUUGUGCUGCACGACGUGGAAGAGGAGCAGAAGGAACAGAACCUGUCGCACCACAGUGAGAAGCUUGCAGUUGCGUUCGGGAUCAUUGAGACUCCGCCCGGAACUCCCAUCAAAGUAUUCAAGAACCUACGGAUUUGCGGGGAUUGCCACACCGCCAUUGGGUUCAUCUCGAGGAUCACUCAGAGGGAGAUUGUUGUGAGGGAUUCGAACCGGUUCCAUCGAUUCAAGGAUGGGAUCUGCUCAUGUGGAGGUUUUUGGUAACAUGGGUCUGUUAAAAAGCUUAUGAGGGAGAGUAGCUUGGGAUGCUUCAAUGGAAAAGGGCAGGAAAUACAGUCAUUCAAAUUCCUGCCAUCUCCUGACCGUUGAUGAAACUGAGGAAGCUCACAUUCACUAGAGAGCAGAUGCAAGCAGCUAUGGACUUGGCAUAUGAUAUGUUAUUUCUCCAGAAAAUGGUGAAAUGAAGAGGGGGAAAGGUAUAAUUCAUCCUAUUAUUACACAAAGCUUGAAGUGAAGCAGCAAGAAAUUCGGGUGUGGCUUUCAAAAGUGUAAACAAGUAUAAACAGGUAGGAAACAGGAGCAGAAGCGAGCGUCUAAUGCAGGGAUUCAAAGGGGAAGCAGCACUUGGUUAGAAAGAUCCUGCAACUAAAGUUCAUCCAUGAUGGGGGCCAUCACAUCAAUGGCUUGGAUAAACCAACCGUGGCCCCCACUUGUACUGAUUCUCUACAUUCGCUACAAACAGGGAAUUUACCAAAAAAGAAGAUGUAAUUUUCCUCCCAAGUAUGUAUCGAAAUGUGCAUUCUUUUAUUUCUUUAUUUCUUUUUUAUUCCCCUUCACUCAUAUAUGGCACUGGGGAAAUAAUUUUAGCUACAUGAAACUGGUAUAUGAACUGGAGAUCAGAAAAACUGAGGGGUGGCAUUUAGUAGAGAGUCAGUUCCUUUGCCUAGCUGAAGGAAAAAAAUAAUUUAAAAAAAAAAAAAAAAGCCUUAAUCCGUAGCAAGUUCAUUUCUCCUCAUUCUA
Magnolia sinica is the source of this 3035-nucleotide RNA transcript. It is a transcript of the gene named pentatricopeptide repeat-containing protein At4g37170, with no coding region annotated. Lineage: Eukaryota; Viridiplantae; Streptophyta; Magnoliopsida; Magnoliales; Magnoliaceae. The record is from RefSeq and is a predicted model, not a curated record. The transcript has 2 exons.